AGAGGGUAAGGCCCUGACCUCCUGCUCGCUUGAGAAGUUGGCGUCUGGCACUUAGGACCUUGCCUGUGAUGCAGGUUGCACAGCUCCUCUGAAUUUCUCGGCUCUCCUGGACCCUGCGCAGAGGACCGCAGAAUAUUUAAGGGCGAUAAUAACUUCUCAAUUUCUCUGCCGAAAAAAUCUGAAAAGUAAAGGAAGAUGCUCAACAAAAACGGCAACCUAAGAAUUAGACUGGCUGAAUUUUUAGAGGCUCACCGAAAAGUGUAACAUAUGAAAGGGCACAUUGUAUGUGUGUUUGAAAAAUCAAGGCCAGCAAGAUCAUGAUUAAUGUGACUCAAUUCCAUUGACUUACUGAAAAACUAAGCAAAAGGGAAGAUGAGUAUUUCUGCAGUAAUUGAUUGCUUGGAAUACCUUCUGGACCAGAUGGUGUUGGACAUGAGUAGAAAUCUUCAGAAGCAACCAGAUAGAACAGACUUAGAGAACUUGUGUUUGAUGCCUUAGCAAAUAUUAAGGUAUUAGGAAACCUCUCUAAGAUCAUUUAUCUGAAGUUGUAAUGGAAUUUCAGAACACUUAAGUAGAAUCAUACUAGAACUUGUCUUUUGGGGAAACAAGGAAAUUUUACUUGUCCUCAACAUUAAUCAGACAAUUCAAGUGAGAUAUGAAUCUGGAUUAAUCUUUUAUACCAUCAGAUAUGCAGUGUUCAAGUUUUUGUCUCAAAUGAUUGAGUUUGGUUUUUUUUUCUAAUAAUUAUUGAAAUAUGGCCCACAUAUUGUGAUUGGUAAAUUUGCUCCUUGAUUCUCUUAAUCUAUAGAUCUUUUCUUUGUCUCAUUUAUUAUAUUGUGGUUAAUAUAAUAAACCAUUGGUUGUCCAGGAGUUUACCACAGUAUAGGUUUUGCUGAUAGCAAGCCCCUUUGUCACAUGUUCCUGUGUCCUGUAUUUCUUGCAAAUUGGUCAUUAAA
Molecule: non-coding RNA, 956 nt
Organism: Sus scrofa (pig)
Lineage: Eukaryota; Metazoa; Chordata; Mammalia; Artiodactyla; Suidae
Source: RefSeq, a predicted model, not a curated record